This 400-nucleotide ribosomal RNA is filed under the name uncultured bacterium. RNAcentral's name for it is "bacterial SSU rRNA". It matches the Rfam family "Bacterial small subunit ribosomal RNA", at positions 354 to 748 of the family's 1533-position model. The record is from RNAcentral.
UGAGGGAAUAUUGGGGUCAAUGGGGCGCAGGCCUGAACCAGCCAAGUCGCGUGAGGGAAGACGGUCCUACGGAUUGUAAACCUCUUUUGUCGGGGAGUAACGUGCGGGACGCGUCCCGUAUUGAGAGUACCCGAAGAAAAAGCAUCGGCUAACUCCGUGCCAGCAGCCGCGGUAAUACGGAGGAUGCGAGCGUUAAUCGGAAUGACUGGGCGUAAAGGGCACGCAGGUGGCGAGAUAAGUUGGAUGUGAAAUUCCCGUGCUUAACAUGGGGACUGCAUCCAAAACUGUUGAACUGGAGUACUGUAGAGGGAGGUAGAAUUCCACGUGUAGCGGUGAAAUGCGUAGAGAUGUGGAAGAAUACCAGAGGCGAAGGCGGCCUCCUGGACAGAUACUGACACUG